Molecule: ribosomal RNA, 802 nt
Filed under: Eimeria sp.
Lineage: Eukaryota; Apicomplexa; Conoidasida; Eucoccidiorida; Eimeriidae
Description: SSU rRNA
Rfam family: Eukaryotic small subunit ribosomal RNA
Source: RNAcentral
GAAGCUACUAGAUCAAACAACCCACUUUGUGGAGUCCUGGUGAUUCAUAGUAACCGAACGGAUCGCAAUUGGCUUCGGCCCGCGAUAGAUCUUUCAAGUUUCUGACCUAUCAGCUUUCGACGGUAGGGUAUUGGCCUACCGUGGCAGUGACGGGUAACGGGGAAUUAGGGUUCGAUUCCGGAGAGGGAGCCUGAGAAACGGCUACCACAUCUAAGGAAGGCAGCAGGCGCGCAAAUUACCCAAUGAAAACAGUUUCGAGGUAGUGACGAGAAAUAACAAUACAGGGCAUUUUAUGCUCUGUAAUUGGAAUGAUGGGAAUGUAAAACCCUUCCAGAGUAACAAUUGGAGGGCAAGUCUGGUGCCAGCAGCCGCGGUAAUUCCAGCUCCAAUAGUGUAUAUUAGAGUUGUUGCAGUUAAAAAGCUCGUAGUUGGAUUUCUGCUGUGGUCAUCCGGUACCGCCCGUACGGGUGCGCACCUGGUUUGGCUGCGGCUUUCUUCCUGUAGCCGUCCGCGCUUAAUUGCGUGUGGUGUGUUGCGGAACUUUUACUUUGAGAAAAAUAGAGUGUUUCAAGCAGGCUUGUCGCCCUGAAUACUUCAGCAUGGAAUAAUAGGAUAGGACCUUGGUUCUAUUUUGGUGGUUUCUAGGACCAAGGUAAUGAUUAAUAGGGACAGUUGGGGGCAUUCGUAUUUAACUGGCAGAGGUGAAAUUCUUAGAUUUGUUAAAGACGAACUACUGCGAAAGCAUUUGCCAAGGAUGUUUUCAUUAAUCAAGAACGACAGUAGGGGUUUUAAAAAACACAAA